GAUGAACGCUGGCGGCGUGCCUAAUACAUGCAAGUCGAGCGAACAGACGAGGAGCUUGCUCCUCUGACGUUAGCGGCGGACGGGUGAGUAACACGUGGAUAACCUACCUAUAAGACUGGGAUAACUUCGGGAAACCGGAGCUAAUGCCGGAUAAUAUAUUGAACCGCAUGGUUCAAUAGUGAAAGACGGUUUUGCUGUCACUUAUAGAUGGAUCCGCGCCGCAUUAGCUAGUUGGUAAGGUAACGGCUUACCAAGGCGACGAGGCGUAGCCGACCUGAGAGGGUGAUCGGCCACACUGGAACUGAGACACGGUCCAGACUCCUACGGGAGGCAGCAGUAGGGAAUCUUCCGCAAUGGGCGAAAGCCUGACGGAGCAACGCCGCGUGGGUGAUGAAGGUCUUCGGAUCGUAAAACUCUGUUAUUAGGGAAGAACAAAUGUGUAAGUAACUAUGUACGUCUUGACGGUACCUAAUCAGAAAGCCACGGCUAACUACGUGCCAGCCGCCGCAGUAA
This 513-nucleotide ribosomal RNA is filed under the name uncultured bacterium. RNAcentral describes it as "partial 16S ribosomal RNA". It matches the Rfam family "Bacterial small subunit ribosomal RNA", at positions 28 to 523 of the family's 1533-position model. The record is from RNAcentral.